AAGGCAUGAGAGGGCACUUUCUAGAUAUCUCCUUGAAUCUCUCCCAACUCUCAUAAAUAAAUUAUUCUUCUAAUUGCUUAAAAUGAGUAAUAUCAUUUCUAAGUUU
Molecule: small nucleolar RNA, 106 nt
Organism: Dendrobium catenatum
Lineage: Eukaryota; Viridiplantae; Streptophyta; Magnoliopsida; Asparagales; Orchidaceae
Source: RefSeq, a predicted model, not a curated record